Molecule: unclassified non-coding RNA, 1030 nt
Filed under: Hevea brasiliensis (rubber tree)
Lineage: Eukaryota; Viridiplantae; Streptophyta; Magnoliopsida; Malpighiales; Euphorbiaceae
Source: RNAcentral
AUGGAGGCCUUUGUUCUUUUAUGCACAGCUCGGACACUCCUUAUGGGCGCACUUUGGUUAUAACUUGGACUAAUGCAACAAUUAAUAAUGACAGAAGGGGAAAUUUGAUGAAAAAAAUUUUCUUCCUUUCUGCUGUAGGCUCAGCAAGAACUCACAAUUAUCCAAAUACAUGGUAAACUGAUUUUAACAAAAAAAAUGAAAUCAAUUAAUGCCCAGCUAGCCCUUUCUGGUAUAUAUCCAUAAAAAAACAUCGAAAAGAAAGCUAUCCUAAAUGCCAUGAACUAGCUAACUAUAUACACACAAUGAGUGUCGAUAGCUACUAUAUUAAUAGGUGCGAAGAUCCAUCAAAAGAGGUUUUACAGAGCUCUUGGUCUUGCUGGGUUGUUAUUGUGGUGAAGAGGGUUUGGUCCGGUUGGCACUUCCCUCGCCGAGUCCUCUGCAACAAUAGUUGAAGCUCUCUUUCCCAAACUCUUAACUAGAUGGCUUUCAAGAUCCUGUGCAGCAGUAGCUGUAUAAUCGUCUGCUACACCACCCUGAAAACCUGAGCACGCCAUGGUAAGACGAGUUAAGCAAAACUUCAAACGAGAGAAAGAGAGAGAUAAAGAGGGAGAGAAUUGAAGCUUACGGGUACGAGAAGAAUGGACAAAUGAUGUAAAAACCAACACCAAAAUGACCAUGGAGAUCGAAAAUGUUGAUAGAGGCUUUCCAAACGCCAUUUUUAUGAAAAGAGAGCGUUUUAAAAAACAGAGAGAAGAGGCAAAAUAUAGAUUCAUAAAACCCUUUUUGAACGCACUUUCGAUAAGCACAGUGACUCUGACGAUACUGAUGCUGCUGACGCGUAGCCGAUUUCGCUUUCUUUCGAAAGAUCGAAAUCGACCCUGUAAUAGUAAACACAAAGGUAAAUUAAGGGUUUCAUAUUUUUGGGUUGGGCAAGACGAAAUCAGCUCUGUAAUAGUAAACAAAAAGGUAAAUUAAGGGUUUCAUAUUUUUGGGUUGGGCAAGACGAAAUCAGCUCUGUAAUAGUAAACAA